UACGUAGGGGGCGAGCGUUGUCCGGAUUUAUUGGGCGUAAAGAGCUCGUAGGUGGUUUGGUAAGUCGGAUGUGAAAUCUCCAGGCUCAACCUGGAGGGGUCAUUCGAGACUGCUAUGACUAGAGUUCGGUAGAGGAGUGUGGAAUUCCUGGUGGAGCGGUGAAAUGCGCAGAUAUCAGGAGGAACACCCGUAGCGAAGGCGGCACUCUGGGCCGAUACUGACACUGAGGAGCGAAAGCGUGGGGAGCGAACAGG
This 254-nucleotide ribosomal RNA is filed under the name uncultured bacterium. RNAcentral describes it as "partial 16S ribosomal RNA". It matches the Rfam family "Bacterial small subunit ribosomal RNA", at positions 524 to 776 of the family's 1533-position model. RNAcentral also lists the same sequence under 1 other name. The record is from RNAcentral.